This is a long non-coding RNA of Poecilia latipinna (sailfin molly), 374 nucleotides long. RefSeq lists it as uncharacterized. The record is from RefSeq and is a predicted model, not a curated record. Lineage: Eukaryota; Metazoa; Chordata; Actinopteri; Cyprinodontiformes; Poeciliidae. The transcript is spliced from 2 exons.
CUGGAUCUGCUGUUGGUUCCCUGCUGAUGGUUCAUCCUCUCAUCUCCUUGCUUUUACCCGUUCUCCGGUCAGCCUGGACGCUUCCUGCUCAAGGCUGCAGAUUAUAUAAUCUGCCUGCUGCUGGAUUAAAGCAGCCAGAACAGAUUUUCUCGCAGCGCCGGCUGCUGUUUGACUCCUCCUGCUUGCUUUGCAUUUUGAAGCAGAGAAACAGAUUUAGACACAUGAAGAGAAGCGGCAGGUUUGACUGAAUGUUGAUACAAACCAGAAGAUCUGAGAAAACUGUUCAUUAAACGGGUCGCAGGAUUGGCUGAAACAAUCUGGAGUAAUCCUGUUUAGAGCCGGUAAUAAAGUCCAACGUUGGUCUCCAUGACGAC